UGAUCUCUGCAUCUUUAAGUCAUUUUUUUUGUUCCAUUUUUCCUACGCAUGUGAUAAGUGGAUUAUAUACACUUAUCCGGUAUCUUUUAUUUGAAUUAGUUGCUUAUAUUUAUGUGUCUUAGUUACUUUUCAUGCAUUUUGUGUUUAUUUUGUAGGUUAUACGUUUGGGAGCGGUGUGAGCGACUAUUGGUAAGGAAAAGCAAAGAAAAUGCAAAGAAAAGCAAAUCGGACAUCAUUUGAGCUUUCAUGUUUACUUCAUGUUCUUGGUUUGGAACUUAGCUUACAUUGAAGAGCAUCGUCUUAGCUUUCCGAAACAUUUUGAAUCAUUUCAAUCAGAGUUCGGAUGCAAGAGUUAUGAUCGUUGUACCAACGAACGUCGAACGUCAUGGUUUUGAGUGGUCAUUUGCAUAGCAGUCACUUUCAGCUCAAUUUUCGCCUUCAUCCGCCCAGAAUUUCUCAAUCCUCAAAGAAUGAAAAUUGUAUAUCUCGUCGAUAUCUUCAAUUUGAUAAGUAGCAGGCCCCGUAACUCCUCCCAGAUCAAAAGUUAUGGCCAUUUUACCAGAGGACGUCGGAGCAGAAAAUAAGCUUGAUUUGGGCCCCCCGGCGCUGUCCCAUGCUCUGACAUUUUCUGCUCAAUCAAGGGGAAUGGAGAUUGACAGACUCGCGACGCUUUCCGCAAUGUCAGCACAAAUUAAAGAACUUUCGAGGAAGUUGGACGUUAUCGCAUCCCAACAGAGUCGAAGGAUGGCCGUUAUGUGUGACUAUUGUGCUGGCAAUCACCCGAGUAAUCAAUGCACCAUCAAUCCUAGGCCGGUACAGUAUGGUGGUAACUACCUCAAUCAGUAUGCAUAUGAUAAUUAUGAACAAGUUUGGGGGUAUCACCCGGAUUCUUCAUGGAGCUACAACUAUCAAGACCAAUACUCUACUCCAAAUCCAACAUACACGCCGGAAUUCUCAUCUCAACCUCUAUUAAAAGAAGAAAAUUCAAGGUUGGAGGAAUUGUGGUCCAAGUUCGAGGAGAGAGGGAUUAAUCAAACAGGGUCAAUUCUAAAACUUGCGGAUCAGAUAGAGCAAAUGACCAAAGUCAUAAACAACCUUCCUCCAAACACUUGGCUUUAUGACAUGGAUGACGAAAUUGAUGAAAUGCCCGAGCCAAAUCUACAACUGAAUGAGACACGAGAUGUUGAAAAAGAUGAGACAAGUGAGGAUAAUAAAAAUAAGGUCGGUGAAGAACUAACUAUGAUUACCAACGAGGAGGAGCCGAUGUUAUUAGUGCCCCAAGUUCCUUCUCCAUCAAAGUUCAAGAAUCUGGUUAGAUUUGCAAAAUCUUGUCCGCUAGGUAGUCAUGUCGUCGGCAAUACUCCUUGUGACGUAAAAGCGAGUACAACUUCGAAGCCAUGGUUCAAUGAGUUGGAGAAGAUAGAAGAAGAGAUUGUUGUGUCUGACAAGCCUUAAUGCCAGAAUCUAUUAGCAGACACAAUGGAAAAAACACCUAGAUGUUGGACGUUCUUUAAUGUGAUCUUAUCUAAACAAAGCAUGCUAGGUGACUUUAAUACAAUGGCUAUCGUAAAUGGGAACCUACCAAAAGCUAUAUUAGUUCCGAUGGAUGAAGGGUUCCUCAACUUUCGAAGAGGAAUUGGAUAGCAUUGACCAGACAAAGUCAGGCUGAAAGACUAUAAAUCAAGCGCUGACUGGGAGGCAACCCAGGAAUUUUUAUAUUUAUAUGCUUUACUAGUUUAUUUAGUAGAUAGGAAUUAAUUUGCUUAGUAAGUUCUCUUAUAAUCUAAUACAUGUUGUCUCUCUUCAUUGCAGGUAUUGGAGGUUCAAUGGAUAGGAAAAUGAUCGUCGCUACCAUCGCCACCAGCACCUCACGCUUAGCUGAUUACAGGGAAGUUCUCUUCUACUUAUCGCUAUAUUCUUACAAUGAGGACAUUGUAAUUGCUAAGUUUGGGGGAGUUUAGUUUAGUUCGUUAUUGCAUGUUUAGUUUCAUGUUUAUGUUAUGUUAUUUUGCAUAUGUUGUUAAUAUAGUUUAGGUUCAUUAUAAAAAAAAAAUUCAAAAAUUCAAAAAUAAUAGUUAGUUACUAUGUUCAUUUUGCAUAAGUCCAGUAGUUUGUUAUAGUUAAGUUUAUUUUGGCCAAUGAUGAUAUUGGAAUUGGGUAAACAAGUAUAAUACUGACUAUUAGAGCUUUGAUGUGAUUUCUUGUUAUAAAUUGAAUCUUUUUCUGUUUGAAAACUAGUAUAAUAAUGAUAGCACAGUAAAAAUAACUUGUUGAUUGAUUGAGUUUAAAUUGAUACAUAAUGGGACUCUAAAGGAUAAUGCUAGUUUGAAUGAAAGAAUGACAAGAAUAAGUAGUGAUGACUAAAGUUAGACAAGAACCUAAGUUUGGGGGAAUAUUUGGGGUAUAUAAGCUAUAUAAAAAAAAAGAAGAAAAAGAAAAACAAAGAAAAAGAAAAAAAAAGUAUCAAUAAACACCGUGGCAUGUUUGUCUAGUUUUGUGGCCUUUGUUACUUGAGUAAGUAAGCCCGAGGAGAUUGUCUUUACACCUAGCGCCCUAAGGUCUUAAUGGUCUCGGAGUCGUUGGUCAAAAGCUCGUUAAGGUAGCAUUGAAAAGCCUAAGGGAAUAAGACAUUGCAUAACUAUGUGUAUAUAAAAAAAAAGAGAAUAAAGCGGGAAAAAAGAGCAAAAAGCCCUCGUAGUUGAAAAUAAAGCACAAGUAUCCCAUGUUGACCCUCGAUAUUGGUAAUUGUUUGAUUUUAGUUGGAUCUAGCUUGUUUUUGGAUUUCUUGAGUUUACCCUGUAUGAUGCCUUCGAAGAGACUUGUUAUGUGUUACAUUUGAUUUUAUAUCAGUUAGCAUGGUUGUUGAGCACACACAUGCACUAUACCAGUAAUAACAGUUUAAGACUUGAUGAUUGACUAGGAAAUUGUUGAUUGGUUUUGUUAUGAAGUAUUGUCGUGUUUGCUUGAUUGCUCUAAGGCCGAAUGAAUAGAUUUGAUUCUAUCAAAUACUGCUGGAUUCGUAGGCAUAUAGAUUAGUUGUAUUUCAUUGCAUUGCAUUGCAUUAUGUUGUGUUGCUUGGGGACAAGCAACAGUUUAAUUUUGGGGGUAUUUGAUAAGUGGAUUUUAUAUACACUUAUCCGGUAUCUUUUACUUGAAUUAGUUGCUUAUAUUUAUGUGUCUUAGUUACUUUUCAUGCAUUUUGUGUUUAUUUUGUAGGUUAUACGUUUGGGAGCGAUGUGAGCGACUAUUGGUAAGGAAAAGCAAAGAAAAUGCAAAGAAAAGUAAAUCGGACAUCAUUUGGGCUUUCAUGUUUACUUCAUGUUCUUGGUUUGGAACUUAGCUUACAUUGAAGAGCAUCGUCUUAGCUUUCCGAAAUAUUUUGAAUCAUUCCAAUCAGAGUUCGGAUGCAAGAGUUAUGAUCGUUGUACUAACGGACGUCAAACGUCAUGGUUUUGAGUGGUCAUUUGCAUAGCAGUCACUUCCAACUCAAUUUCCGCCUUAAUCCGCCCAGAAUUUCUCAAUCUCAAAGAAUGAAAGUUGUAUAUCUCGUCGAUAUCUUCGAUUUGAUAGGUGGCAGGCCCCGUAACUCCUCCCGGAUCAAAAGUUAUGGCCGUUUUACCAGAGGACGUCAGAGCAGAAAAUGUCAGAACAUGGGGCAGCGCCGGGGCGCCCAAAUUAGGCUUAUUUUCAGCGUCGAGGCACUAGGGAGCAGAUUCUCAGCGCCAUGCCCAGCGUUGGGGGAAGAGAUUGAUGCGGUCUGGACGCGUUUUGGGCGAAUUUUGACACCUUUUUGACUCCAAAUUGGAUUGGGUUUGUUCCUAAACUAAAAAUUGGACUUGUAACCUAUAAAUACAUGAUGUAAGGCAUAAAAUAAGAGGGAGAUGACAUAGAUUAGAUUAGAGAUACACUCCAUUAGAUUAGAACAUAACUCUAGUUCUUAAUUAGCCAUUGGAGAUUGAAGCAAAUUGAAGAACAUUGAAGAUUAAAAGCAAGAGCAAGAGGGGAGCAUCAGAUUUGCUGACAACAGAUUCUAUUCUCUUCUCUCAUCUUACUUUU
Molecule: long non-coding RNA, 4056 nt
Filed under: Panax ginseng (ginseng)
Lineage: Eukaryota; Viridiplantae; Streptophyta; Magnoliopsida; Apiales; Araliaceae
Description: long non-coding RNA (PGIN_LNC009797)
Source: RNAcentral